AAAGUCGUAACAAGGUAUCCGUAGGUGAACCUGCGGAUGGAUCAUUACCAAAGAGACGGCUUCUUUCUAGGCCCCUUGGGCCUUUUUUGAGCCUGUCCACCCCACACUUUGUGCACCGUUUCCUGUCUCUGGCGGGCGGCCUCUGUAGAGGUCAGGCUCUCUUCUCCUUUGGGAGAGGGGGUGGGGAAGACCAAAUGGCCUUCUCCACCAAGAGCCAAACCCGCCGGAGGGCUUUUCUGAGCCCUGCCAUUUUUAAACUCUUGCGUGAACCUUUUUAUCUGUCUGAAACAUUUUUACUUUAAAAUGUGAAAACAACUUUUGACAACGGAUCUCUUGGCUCUC
RNAcentral lists this unclassified non-coding RNA (342 nucleotides) under Chytridiomycota sp. RNAcentral describes it as "partial contains small subunit ribosomal RNA, internal transcribed spacer 1, and 5.8S ribosomal RNA". The stretch from base 1 to 47 matches the Rfam family "Eukaryotic small subunit ribosomal RNA", at positions 1785 to 1831 of the family's 1831-position model. The record is from RNAcentral. Lineage: Eukaryota; Fungi; Chytridiomycota.